UUUUUUUUUUUUUUGUCUUUUUGCCUUUUCUAGGGCCACUCCCGCGGCAUAUGGAGGUUCCCAGGCUAGGGGUCGAAUCAGAGCUGUAGCAACACAGGAUUCGAGCCGUGUCUGCGACCUACACCACAGCUCACGGCAAUGCCGGAUCCUUAACCCACUGAGCGAGGCCAGGGAUUGAACCCUCAACCUCAUGGUUCCUAGUCGGAUUCGCUAACCGCUGAGCCUCGACGGGAACUCCUCCUGUCAGUCUUUCUUUACAGCUUCCGUUUUUUGUUGUUUGUUUUUUUUUUGGCCACACCCAUGGCAUGUGGAAGUUCCCAGCCAGGGGUACAAUUGAAGCUGCAGCUGCAGACCUGUGCUGCACCUACAGAGACACUGGACCAGGCCCUCAUCUCUAGCUUGCAACAAUGCCAGAUACUUUUUUUUUUUUUUUAAUCUUUUUGGCUGCACUGCAGCAUAUGGAGCUCUGAAGCCAGGGAUCAGAUCUGAGCCACAGCCACGAACUAAGCCACAGCUGUGCCAAUGCAGGAUCCCUAACCUACUCUGCUGGGCUGAGGAUUGAACUUGGGUCCCAGUGCUCCCAAGACACUGCUGAUCCCGUUGUGCCACAGAGGGAGCUCCAACACCAGAUCCUUAACCCACUGAAUGAAGCUGGGAAUCCAACCCACAUUCUCAAAGCGACAGCAUUGAUUCUUAACUGCUGAGCCACAAUGGAAACUCCCUGAAAAUGAUGUUUUAACACUGACCUUCCCCAGCCCAAACUCUGUAUGUCAUGGCUUUGUUUUACUUUCUUCAGGGCUGGAUCAUCUUCUGAGAUGACUCUGUUCAUUUGUUUCUUUGAUUUUGGUGGGUCUCGCCCUGCCCUGGUCACUGCAGGGGGGAGGCCCUCCAAAUAAAAGUGAUGGACAGAAUGAAGUAGGUGCGUAGCAGCUGUCUACCAUCUCAUGGUGCUUCCUCGAGCCUCCUCUCCUGCAGGGCUGGUCUGUCUUGUCUGCGUUCACCUGUGAUAUAUUCCCAGUCACCCUCCCCUCCAGGUCAGACAAGGACAGGCGAAGUGCUGUGCUUGAAGUUUCAGCGGGUAAAUGAAUGACAUUUUUCCGGCUUGCGUCAGGCUUUGGGCAAUUCCCCACCGAGCAGCCAGACAAGCCGCCUAGUGAUACUGG
This 1163-nucleotide long non-coding RNA is filed under the name Sus scrofa (pig). RNAcentral's name for it is "lncRNA (ENSSSCG00055013972.1)". Lineage: Eukaryota; Metazoa; Chordata; Mammalia; Artiodactyla; Suidae. The record is from RNAcentral.